GACGAACGCUGGCGGCGUGCUUAACACAUGCAAGUCGAACGGAAAGGCCCCUUUCGGGGUACUCUAGUGGCGAACGGGUGCGUAACACGUGAGUAACCUUCCCUUGACUUCGGGAUAACUUCAGGUAACUGGGGCUAAUACCGGAUAGGAAUCCUUUCUUCAUGGUGGUGGUUGGAAAGCUUCGGCGGUUUUUGAUGUACUGGCGGCUUAUCAGCUUGUUGGUGGGGUUGUGGCUUACCAAGGCUUUGACGGGUAGCCGGCCUGAGAGGGCGACCUGCCACAUUGAGACCGAGAGAAGGCACAGACUGGGACGGGAGGGAGAAGUGGGGAAUAUUGCACGAGGGGCGGAAGCCUGAUGAAGAAGGGCCGCGGGCGGGAUGACGGCCUUCGGGUUGUAGACCGCAUGCAGAAGGAGCGAAGCUUGUGGUGACGGUACCUGAAGAAGAAGCAACGGCUAACUACGUG
This 465-nucleotide ribosomal RNA is filed under the name uncultured bacterium. Its description in RNAcentral is "partial 16S ribosomal RNA". It matches the Rfam family "Bacterial small subunit ribosomal RNA", at positions 28 to 507 of the family's 1533-position model. The record is from RNAcentral.